Molecule: long non-coding RNA, 2701 nt
Organism: Lagopus muta (rock ptarmigan)
Lineage: Eukaryota; Metazoa; Chordata; Aves; Galliformes; Phasianidae
Exons: 3
Source: RefSeq, a predicted model, not a curated record
CUCGCGGCGCCCCACGCGGUCGCCCGCCUUCCGAACUACAAGUCCCGGCGUGCGAGGGGCAUGCGUGUUUCGGCAGCUGAGAGAGCUCGGGUCCUGGGGCCCGCCCGUGGCUGUGGGUUUUUAAACCAAAGGGAGGUGGCAAAUGGAGGACUAUAGAGACACUUGACAGUUUUCAUAAUUAAAGCAUGAGAACAAGAAAGAAUCCUUGUGACAGCAUUGCCAGUAGGUGUGGACAAAGAUGUCUGUACCAAGAUGAAGGCAAAAAUUCUGUUGUCAUUCCAUAUCGCAAAAUGUCAGCUGGGAGGCUUGGGUGGGCCAUACCCAGUGCCAGGAAUGGACCAGAGGGACCCCAGCAAAGGUCCUACCUUGAAAAUGGAGUCUGGAGGAUGGACAAGGCCAUAAAGAAAGUGCUGGGAAUCAAAUCCUGUGUACUGGAAGACAAAGGGGAGAUGCCCUGCUUCAAAACUAGACCCUCCUUGCAUAUGUGAAAGCACAUAUGCCACACUGGCUGGCUGAUGCUGCAGAGAGAAAGGAAUGAAGGCGGGGGAAAAUUAGACUCCUUUGAGUCUGCUUCUUUCUUUCCAACACUCAGAGGAUGUGUUUAUUCUGAAUUAUGGAUCCUAUUUUUUGUGAACCAUAGAACUCUGGAAUUACACUGUCUGCAGUUCACUACUUGCUGCAGUGGUUCAUCUCAGGAUGGAAAAGGUGAACCAUAAAUUCAGAAAGAAUGUUUUAAUUCUAUUUCUGAUGUGAACUUUGGGCCAAAUUUCAAAUCUAAACGGAAAGAGGUCAGCUGUGUUUGUAGGUCCAAAGAUUAUAUGCAAGAAAUCAAGCAUUUAGACAAAUAGCCAAGAGAUUAGGAAUUCAUGGAUUUGUUGCUGCACAUUAUUUAUUCAGUUAAGAUUUUCUUGCAUAACUUCAAGUAGUGUUAUGAAUACUGGAGUUUCCUGGCAUGUACCCAGAAGCAAGUAUUAAUGUAUGAUUAAUUCUUAAGUUUAGCAUAGAGAUACCUCUCAAGUAGUUGUUUGUUUUUAAAAGAGAAAAAUAAUUAUAUUCCUUUAACUGGGUAGGAAACCAAAUCUCCGUUCCCCAGCCUUGUGACAAGCUCCCAAGUUAAUACAGUUUAGUCAACACAGACAUAUUUUGUCAAAACUUCUGAAGAAUGCUGACCCAGAAUAAGCCAUAGAAGAAAAACUGACAUAAAGCAUAGAACUAAUUGUGCAAUGCUUUAUGUGGAAAAAUGACUUCCUGAUACCAGUGUUAGUAGCAUCAGGAUGUGGUGUUUAGAGAUCUACAUUUGGUUCUUAUCUUCCACAUAUGAAUAUUUUGCAUAUAUAUAUAACUUGUUAUAUCCACGUAUAUUAACUGUUGUAUUCAAUGCCUCUUCUCUCUUUUUACCUGAUAUUUUUCAACACAGGUGAUCCUCUUAUACACUUUUAGAUUUCUUAUUGUUUAAAAUGUCAUCCACCAACUCACAGGUAUUUACUUUGUGAACUCCUUGUUCUAGAGAAGCUGAGUAGUGCCCAUGUAGCUGGAAAGUUGCACAGUGAGCUUCUAACACAUGGAGCUGAGUGAGCUGACUGAAAUGCAAGCUGUAAAUGGAUAGAUGUGUAAAAAUAGCCCUAAGUCCAUAAGUUUGGGAAAAUUUUUACAACUUUAAGAAUCUUUGAUUUGGUAAGCAGCAUAAACUAUCUAUUGCAUAUUUGUUUAUUCCUGUAUAGAUAAAGCUAAAAUCAAGUUUACCUCAGAGUGUUCUGUCAUAACUCUAGGAAAAUGGCAUUUGAUACAAACUUGUGUUAAUAAAAACAAACCACAAAAUCCAUUUUCCUACAGUAGGGUGAAUGACUUCUCUUAUGUCAAAAGUACAUGUAUGUAUUGGAGCCAAACACGUUUUCCAUGACAGAAGCAUCCUGGAGCCUUCCUGCCCUCCUGAAGGAACUCAGAGGAGGUUUGAAAAAGAUACAAAGGUCUUUAGACACAAACAUCCUUGUGGGUUCAACACACUCGAUUUUCCAGGGGAGUGAAUUUUGUAUCUCCAUAGGAUAGUGGGGUCUUCAGAGGGGUUUUAUUAUGACCCUGUUUGUAUUCCUAUUUAAGACCACUUAUUAUUUCACUUAGCUUGCAAACUAAUAAUGGUGCUAAGUUAAGCAAGCAUCAGUCUAAUUCCAUCGUCUUUAUAACUUUAUUUCUCUGGAGGCAUGAAAAGAGAUGAAUACAGCAAAUGAAGUGUACGAACGUCCUAUAGAAUGGAUCUGUAUCUGUUACAAGGCAUUAACCAUGAUGAUCUACAGAUUAUCCAAUUCUUGUUAUUUUAGGUUAACAACAAAAUGUGACUUUGCCAAAUGCAGAUUCAGCUCCCAGGGUGUCCAAUACAGUGGCACGUAUCAUGGCAUUUCAGAGUUUGCUGUGUACAGAAGCACUGUAAAAAGUUUUUCCACUUAGGUAGAGAAUAACAGAACAAACCCAAGUGGGAAGUUUUUCUAUACUGUCUUGCAUAACAAGGUCAAGCAGAGAAUCUGUUAAGACAAAAAAACAGUGCCAAUUUAAAUAAAUCAGAUGUUUUUGCUGAAGAUUAUGCUGUCAUUUUCUCCAAUUAUUCUUGACAUUUCACCCAAUCGUAUUGUGAUCGGAGUUAAUAAUGGAAGAAAAAGAACGGCUCUCGUUGCCUUGUUUAUGCUUUGUUCUCAAGGAGAUAAGCUGU